Long non-coding RNA from Xenopus tropicalis (tropical clawed frog), 231 nucleotides. RefSeq lists it as uncharacterized. The record is from RefSeq and is a predicted model, not a curated record. The transcript has 3 exons. Lineage: Eukaryota; Metazoa; Chordata; Amphibia; Anura; Pipidae.
CCCCUAGACCGAAGCCGAUUAAAGUUUCUCUGAGGAAGUGCCAGGAGACUCUGUCGAACGCCUUUUCGGCGUCUAUGGUAUGAAACCUGCUUGAUCCGGGUUCACCAGGAAGGCUCCUCCUUGAUGGUGGAUGUAACCUCGUGGAGCAUAUUUUUUAUAUCCGCUUUUGAUGGGAGAUUCGUGAGGUAAGUAUGUAUGUCCUGCUCUUCUUCUGCUUCACUUUCCAUUUCA